RNAcentral lists this long non-coding RNA (2775 nucleotides) under Homo sapiens (human). RNAcentral's name for it is "HSALNT0169813". Lineage: Eukaryota; Metazoa; Chordata; Mammalia; Primates; Hominidae. The record is from RNAcentral.
GGCGGGACGGCCGCGGGCUCUGCGCCCGCCCUCGGCGCGGACCCUGGGCCCCGACCCCGCGGUCGCCGGGGCUCCCCUUCCUCUGUCCCAGUGCGCCCAGCCCCGCGCUCCGCACCCGGGCACCCCCGCGGGGUUCUCCUGAGUUCCUGGAGCUCCCGGGGCUGGCGCUCACGCCGUGAGAGGGGUGCGCCCUUAGGGGGGCGGGACGGACGGGGGGUUUCUACGGGAGGUAGGAAACGGGCGGCUUGCAAGGCGCGGGCUUAGGCCGGAGCCUGGUGGUGCGAGGUCCCCAGCUCGGAUUUCUCCCUGGUGGAGAGUCCCGGAGCAGAACAAACCAGCAGAGGCUCUGGAAAGGGUCCUCCUGAGCACGUGGCUCAUUCAUUCAUUCGACAAACGUUACCUGAGCGCCUGCCCACUCAUUGCCCGAGUGUGCUGGGAGCGCCGCACCAACUGCCUGGUAGGUGGGAGAAGGGACACGUCAGGUAACAAACAGCACAGAAAAGAGAGGUUAAAACCAAGACAUGGACAAAGCCUCCGAAUGAAGGCAGCCCUUUAAAUGGAAUAAAUUUGGUUUCAUGGCACAUUAAUGGGGUGUCUUCUCUCCGAAGACACAGAGACAACUACAGUAGGUCUGGGGGCCGUCAGGGAUUGGAGGAACGAAGGUAAGAAAAGGAAGAAGGUAAGAAAAAGAGGUCCCUACCUCUGUGAGGUAGGGACAGUGCUGAACAGCAGGGCUGGGAGAGCCCACAGGGAGGUGGCCAGGAUGGCCACAGGGCCUGGGGAGGACCAGGUGGGGCACCAUCCUGCGGUAGAGAAUGCCCGUCACCUGCCCUAGGGGCCACCCAGAAUGCAGAUUAAAUAAGUAUUUGGGAAUGGCACAGGAGCUUUUCCAUUUUCGUGGGUUAGAGGAAAGCUGCUGCGUUCAAGAGGAUAACGUGGGACCUGAGCAUUCUGGUAAGUCAACCCCACAUUCAUGGAAAGCCACGGGCUCUGUUUUACUGAUAAGGAACUGAAGUCCCACAGAGGAAGUGGCCAGGCUCACUCACACACAGCAUGCACUUGAAGCUUUCUGUGGAAAUCAGAAACCUCCGGGGCUCAGGCGCUGUAGUGGUGGCCUGGUGACUCUGACCCCUUGAAGGAGAAGCAUCUGUGAAGGUGCUGUCCAGGACAAGUAGGGUGCUCUACGGUAAAGGACAUGGUGGCCUGACCUGCUCCAGAGCAGGGAGGCCUCCCUUGAGGAAAUAAGAUAAACCCAGACUUUAAGGAUAAGCAGAAACCAGCUAGGUGAACUGGAGUGGGAACAGCACGUGAAAAGGCCCUGGUUUAGGAAGGAGCACCACUCCUUCAGAGCACAGAAAGGCCAGGAUGGCCGAAGCAUAGGGAACAACAGGAAAGUGACAUAAAUUGAGGCUGCAGAGGUAGAAGAAGGGCCUUAUUGGUCGUGCUAGGAAUUUGGAAUUCUGCAAAGAAGCCUGGGAAACAGAUUUUGGUGACACUCGCCUUCUCUUUAAUGUGCAGUUUCAGUUCUGUUGGUGUGAUUCUGCAUUGGAGAUGGCGUGCUGUAACGAAUGGCCAGGAGCUUAAGAGUCAUGCAGACUUGGGAGGCCUGGCCUUGCCACGCCCAGCUGCAUGGCCAUCCUCCUCCUGUUUCUGGCCGUUCUGUUUCUAAACCUUGGGGUUCUGAUAUUCCUACAUGUAAACUAGGGGCUGUAAUAGGAAUCUCACAGUCAAAGUGGAGGAAGGAGGAGCUUGAGAUUGAAAAAUCAGUUUGAGAAGCAGCCACCUUGACUGGCUUCACUCUAAUAGCCUGGACGCUGCCUCCACACUCCAGGUGCACUGCUCAGCAUUCUCCAAGAAGAUCAUUAAGGCAGACCCUACGUGUUAAAUUUCAAUCAGUUUCAUUGAGCAAAUAUGCUGUUAAAUAGAGACUGCUGUGUGCUGCGUCAGUGUGCCUUAUGGGCAAAUGUGAUGGUGACUAUAAAUGCAGACCAAGCAGUCCUUCCCACACUGUGUACACAAAGAAAGGAGCUCUGGAACUGGGAGCCAGGACAUCUGCAGGAGGAGAAUUCUGAAGUGAAAGGAGGCCUGGAUAUUGGUUGCAAGGCCUUGUCCCUGGAGCCUGGAUGCUCUCAUACCUUCUACAUCUGGGCCUCUGGGUCCAGGACAGUGCCAGGGAGAGUUCAUAGAAACAAAUGUGUUGAAGACCUUAGCGGUUGUCUGACUCUGAGACAGUUACCUGGCCACUCUUAAGUUUCCUCAUUUUUUUUUUAAUUUUACUUUAAGUUGCGGGAUACAUGUGCAGAACGUGCAGGUUUGUUACAUAGGUAUGCAUGUGCCAUGGUGGUUUGCUGCACCUGUCAACCUUUCAUCUAGGUUUUAAGCCCCUCAUGCAUUAGAUAUUUGUCCUAAUGCUCUCCUUCCCCUUGGCCCCCUGUCAGGUCCUGGUGUGUGUGUUGUCUGGCCCCCACCGUGUCCAUGUGUUCCUAUUGUUCAUCUCCCAUUUAUGAGUGAGAAUAUGUGGUGUUUGGCUUUCUCUUCCUGUGUUAGUUUGCUGAGGAUGAUGGUUUCCAGCUUCAUCCAUGUCCCUGCAGAGGACAUGAUCUCAUCCUUUUCAUGGCUGCAUAGUAUUCCGUGUUGUGUAUAUACCACAUUUUCUUUAUCCAGUCUUUCAUUGGUGGACAUUUGGGUUGGUUUCAUGUCUUUGCUAUUGUAAAUAGUGCUGCAAUAAACAUUAUGUGUGCAUGUGUCUUUAUAGUAAAAUGAUUUCUAUUCCUU